CCCUUAGAUGUCCUGGGCCGCACGCGUGCUACACUGACGCCUACAGCGAGUACUUCCCAGCCCCGAGAGGUGGCUGGUAAUCAGCAAUAGGCGUCGUGAUGGGGAUAGAUCUUUGGAAUUAUGGAUCUUGAACGAGGAAUGCCUAGUAAGCGCAGGUCAUUAGCCUGCGCUGAUUAAGUCCCUGCCCUUUGUACACACCGCCCGUCGCUCCUACCGAUUUCGAGUGGUCCGGUGAAGACUCGAGAUUGUGGUCUAGCUCCUUCAUUGGGGCUUGACCGCGAGAACCUGUCUAAACCUUAUCAUUUAGAGGAAGGUGAANUCGUAACA
RNAcentral lists this ribosomal RNA (327 nucleotides) under uncultured eukaryote. RNAcentral describes it as "partial 18S ribosomal RNA". It matches the Rfam family "Eukaryotic small subunit ribosomal RNA", at positions 1470 to 1796 of the family's 1831-position model. The record is from RNAcentral.